AUUGAACGCUGGCGGCAGGCCUAACACAUGCAAGUCGAACGAGUGGCGGACGGGUGAGUAAUGUCUGGGAAACUGCCUGAUGGAGGGGGAUAACUACUGGAAACGGUAGCUAAUACCGCAUACCAUCGGAUGUGCCCAGAUGGGAUUAGCUCGUAGGUGGGGUAAAGGCUCACCUAGGCGACGAUCCCUAGCUGGUCUGAGAGGAUGACCAGCAAAAAUGGAAUGGAGAAAGGGGCCAGACUCCUAGGGGAGGCAGAAGUGGGGAAUAUUGCACAAGGGGCGCAAGCCUGAUGCAGCCAUGCCGGGGGGAUGAAGAAGGCCGUCGGGUUGGAAAGGACUUUCAGCGGGGAGGCGUUACCCGCAGAAGAAGCACCGGCUAACUCCGUGCCAGCAGCCGCGGUAAUUC
Molecule: ribosomal RNA, 406 nt
Filed under: uncultured bacterium
Lineage: Bacteria
Description: partial 16S ribosomal RNA
Rfam family: Bacterial small subunit ribosomal RNA
Source: RNAcentral